GUGGGGAAUAUUGGACAAUGGGCGCAAGCCUGAUCCAGCCAUACCGCGUGGGUGAAGAAGGCCUUCGGGUUGUAAAGCCCUUUUGUUGGGAAAGAAAAGCAGUCGGUUAAUACCCGAUUGUUCUGACGGUACCCAAAGAAUAAGCACCGGCUAACUUCGUGCCAGCAGCCGCGGUAAUACGAAGGGUGCAAGCGUUACUCGGAAUUACUGGGCGUAAAGCGUGCGUAGGUGGUUGUUUAAGUCUGUCGUGAAAGCCCUGGGCUCAACCUGGGAAUUGCGAUGGAAACUGGGCGACUAGAGUGUGGCAGAGGGUAGUGGAAUUCCUGGUGUAGCAGUGAAAUGCGUAGAGAUCAGGAGGAACAUCCGUGGCGAAGGCGACUGCCUGGGCCAACACUGACACUGAGGCACGAAAGCGUGGGGAGCAAACAGG
RNAcentral lists this ribosomal RNA (430 nucleotides) under bacterium. RNAcentral describes it as "bacterial SSU rRNA". It matches the Rfam family "Bacterial small subunit ribosomal RNA", at positions 354 to 776 of the family's 1533-position model. RNAcentral also lists the same sequence under 1 other name. The record is from RNAcentral.